This 497-nucleotide ribosomal RNA is filed under the name uncultured bacterium. RNAcentral's name for it is "partial 16S ribosomal RNA". It matches the Rfam family "Bacterial small subunit ribosomal RNA", at positions 28 to 507 of the family's 1533-position model. The record is from RNAcentral.
GAUGAACGCUGGCGGCGUGCCUAAUACAUGCAAGUCGAGCGAACGGACGAGAAGCUUGCUUCUCUGAUGUUAGCGGCGGACGGGUGAGUAACACGUGGAUAACCUACCUAUAAGACUGGGAUAACUUCGGGAAACCGGAGCUAAUACCGGAUAAUAUUUUGAACCGCAUGGUUCAAAAGUGAAAGACGGUCUUGCUGUCACUUAUAGAUGGAUCCGCGCUGCAUUAGCUAGUUGGUAAGGUAACGGCUUACCAAGGCAACGAUGCAUAGCCUACCUGAGAGGGUGAUAGGCCACACCGGAACCGAGACACGGUCCAGACUCCUACGGGAGGCAGCAGUAGGGAAUCUUACGCAAUGGGCGAAAGCCUGACGGAGCAACGCCGCGUGAGUGAUGAAGGUCUUCGGAUCGUAAAACUCUGUUAUUAGGGAAGAACAUAUGUGUAAGUAACUGUGCACAUCUUGACGGUACCUAAUCAGAAAGCCACGGCUAACUACGUG